UUAUAGUUAUUUUAGUUAUUCGUGUAAGAAAAUUCCGUUACAAAAUGAUUGGAGACUAUGAGGCUCAGCGGGAACGUGUUGCUUUUUCUAUUCCAUAAUUUUAUCGUCAAUUUCGAUUUUUCCACGGAUCAUAAAAGAUGGCCCACCGGUAUUUCAUUUGUUAUAUUUUUCGUAGAUUAUCAACAGUUUUGCAGUAUUUUUGGUUUAAGCGGCGGUUAUGACUGAUAUUAUCCGGACGGCCCG
This is a non-coding RNA of Cinara cedri, 243 nucleotides long. The record is from the annotation of a GenBank genome assembly. Lineage: Eukaryota; Metazoa; Arthropoda; Insecta; Hemiptera; Aphididae.